This 466-nucleotide ribosomal RNA is filed under the name uncultured bacterium. Its description in RNAcentral is "partial 16S ribosomal RNA". It matches the Rfam family "Bacterial small subunit ribosomal RNA", at positions 339 to 795 of the family's 1533-position model. The record is from RNAcentral.
CUACGGGACGCAGCAGUGGGGAAUAUUGGACAAUGGGGGAAACCCUGAUCCAGCAAUGCCGCGUGUGUGAAGAAGGCCUGCGGGUUGUAAAGCACUUUCGGUUGGGAGGACUGCUUCUAGCACUAAUAUUGUUGGAAGUUGACGUUACCUUCAGAAGAAGCACCGGCGAACUCCGUGCCAGCAGCCGCGGUAAUACGGAGGGGUGCAAGCGUUAAUCGGAAUUACUGGGCGUAAAGCGCGCGUAGGCGGCUAGAUCAGUCGGGUGUGAAAGCCCCGGGCUUAACCUGGGAACUGCAUCCGAUACUGUCUAGCUUGAGUACAGGAGAGGAGAGUGGAAUUCCACAUGUAGCGGUGAAAUGCGUAGAUAUGUGGAGGAACACCAAUGGCGAAGGCAGCUCUCUGGCCUGAUACUGACGCUGAGGUGCGAAAGCGUGGGGAGCAAACAGGAUUAGAUACCCGCGUAGUC